GGACCUCAGAUCAGGCAAGAUUACCCGCUGAGUUUAAGCAUAUCACUAAGC
This 51-nucleotide ribosomal RNA is filed under the name Diplophyllum obtusifolium. Its description in RNAcentral is "partial 26S ribosomal RNA". RNAcentral also lists the same sequence under 4 other names. The record is from RNAcentral. Lineage: Eukaryota; Viridiplantae; Streptophyta; Jungermanniopsida; Jungermanniales; Scapaniaceae.